AAACGAUGAUUGCUUGGUGUAGCGGGUACCCAAUCCUGCUGUGCCGCAGUUAACGCGUUAAGCAAUCCGCCUGGGGAGUACGGUCGCAAGUCUGAAUCUCAAAGGAAUUGACGGGGGCCCGCACAAGCGGUGGACGCAUGUGGUUCAAUUAGACGCAACGCGAAGAACCUUACCUGGGCUGCAAGCGCAGUGGACCGGGGUAGAAAUAUCCCUUCAGCUUAAGGACUGCUGCGGAGCUGCUGCAUGGCUGUCGUCAUCUCGUGUCGUGAGAUGUUGGGUUAAGUCGUGCAACGAGCGCAACCCUUAUCCUUAGUUGCCAUCAGGUCAAGCUGGGCACUUUAGAGAAACCGCCCCGGACCACGCGGAGGAAGGUGGGGAUGACGUCAAGUCCUCAUGGCCCUUAUGUCCAGGGCCACCCCCGUGGUACAAUGGUCGGUGCAAACGGUGGCAAACCCGCGAGGGGGAGCUAAUUGGAAAAAACCGGCCUCAGUUCGGAUUGGAGUCUGCAACUCGGGUCCAUGAAGCUGGAAUCGCUAGUAAUCGCGGAUCAGCACGCCGCGGUGAAUACGUUCCCGGGCCUUGUACACACCGCCCGUCACAUCAUGAAAGUGGGCCGUACUAGAAGCAGGUGUGCUAACCGCAAGGAGGCAGCCUUCCAAGGUACAGUUCAUGAUUGGGGUGAAGUCGUAACAAGGUAGCC
Molecule: ribosomal RNA, 700 nt
Filed under: uncultured bacterium
Lineage: Bacteria
Description: bacterial SSU rRNA
Rfam family: Bacterial small subunit ribosomal RNA
Source: RNAcentral